RNAcentral lists this non-coding RNA (21 nucleotides) under Caenorhabditis elegans. Lineage: Eukaryota; Metazoa; Nematoda; Chromadorea; Rhabditida; Rhabditidae. The record is from RNAcentral.
UUUGAAAUGGUGAUUUUAUAA